GAUAACCUCCGGAAACUGGGGAUAAUACCCUAUAGGUUACAGAUGCUGGAAUGCUCUGUAACUCAAAGCUCCGGCGCCUUAGGAUGGAUCUGCGGCCGAUUAGGUUGUUGUUGGGGUAACGGCCCAACAAGCCAGUAAUCGGUACGGGUUGUGGGAGCAAGAGCCCGGAGUUGGAUUCUGAGACACGAAUCCAGGCCCUACGGGGCGCAGCAGGCGCGAAAACUUUACAAUGCGGGCAACCGUGAUAAGGGAACCUCGAGUGCCUGUAUAUGCAGGCUGUCCAGGUGUCUAAAGCACACCUGAAGAAAGGGCCGGGCAAGACCGGUGCCAGCCGCCGCGGUAAUACCGGCGGCUCGAGUGGUGGCCACUUUUAUUGGGCUUAAAGCGUUCGUAGCUGGGUUGUUAAGUCUCUUGGGAGAUCCGACGGCUCAACCGUCGGGCGUCUAAGGGAUACUGGCAAUCUUGGAACCGGGAGAGGUGAGGGGUACUUCGGGGGUAGGAGUGAAAUCCUGUAAUCCUCGAGGGACCACCUGUGGCGAAGGCGCCUCACCAGAACGGCUUCGACAGUGAGGGACGAAAGCUGGGGGAGCAAACCGGAUUAGAUACCCGGGUAGUCCCAGCCGUAAGCGAUGCGCGUUAGGUGUAUCGACGACCACGAGUCGUCGAGGUGCCGAAGGGAAACCGUGAAACGUGCCGCCUGGGAAGUACGGUCGCAAGGCUGAAACUUAAAGGAAUUUGGCGGGGGAGCACCACAACAGGUGGAGCCUGCGGUUUUAAUUGGACUCAACGCCGGAAAUCUCACCGGAUAAGACAGCGGAAUGAUUGCCGGGCUGAAGACUCUGCAUGACUAGCUGAAAGGAGGUGCAU
Molecule: ribosomal RNA, 867 nt
Filed under: uncultured archaeon
Lineage: Archaea
Description: bacterial SSU rRNA
Rfam family: Archaeal small subunit ribosomal RNA
Source: RNAcentral